Molecule: non-coding RNA, 186 nt
Filed under: Gibbsiella quercinecans
Lineage: Bacteria; Pseudomonadati; Pseudomonadota; Gammaproteobacteria; Enterobacterales; Yersiniaceae
Description: Lysine riboswitch
Rfam family: Lysine riboswitch aptamer
About the family: Riboswitches are metabolite binding domains within certain messenger RNAs that serve as precision sensors for their corresponding targets. Allosteric rearrangement of mRNA structure is mediated by ligand binding, and this results in modulation of gene expression.
Source: RNAcentral
GCCAGAAGAGGCGCGUCGCCCAGGUAAAGUGUCAGAGGAGCCGUACUCCCAUGACGGCACCGGAGGGGGAGCGACGCCGAGGUACAGCGGCCAGCGGCGGCCAACGUAUCGGCUACAGGGGCUGAAUCCCCUGGGUUGUCACCCUAGGCCACCACAGGUGGCCGGCAAGGUGGGGCGCUUCUGGGU